Molecule: long non-coding RNA, 1265 nt
Filed under: Cricetulus griseus (Chinese hamster)
Lineage: Eukaryota; Metazoa; Chordata; Mammalia; Rodentia; Cricetidae
Description: lncRNA (ENSCGRG00015038304.1)
Source: RNAcentral
GGAUAAGUGCCGCCUCUAGGCCUCUCUGGCCGUUAGGUCCUCCCAACAUCUCGUUUCCUUUUUCUUACUGCAGCUUUCUUCCAUUCUUUUUAAAUGUGUAUUUCCUGAACCAUGUGAGUGCAGUGCCGUGGGGACCAGAAGAGGAUAUUGGACAUCCCCCUGGAACUGGAGUUACAGAUGGUUGUGAGCCCAUAUGGAUGCUGAAAUCAAACCUGGGUCCUCUGUAAGAGAAGCCAGUACUUUUUAACCAUUGGGCUAUCCCUCCGGCCCUCCAGACUGCAGCUUGUUGCUGGAGCUAGAAAAUUGCAAUUCCCUUAUACAGCAUUCGGUCCACUCUCGAAUAAAGAGCAAGACACGCAGCUUGAGGUGGAUGUUAUACCAGAGACACGAGCAACUCUGUUCUUUGUUAUUGUCCAAUACCGCAACACUUUUACAUGGUCCUAGGAAAACCACAAAGCUAUAACUUUUUAAAUUUAUGUAUGUGGAUGUUUUGCCUAAUGUGAGUCCAAUGGCAGUGAAUGGAUCUCCUGAACUAGAGCUACCAGAUAGUUGUGAGCUGUGCUGGCACUCGAACCUGGGUCCUAUGGAAGAGCAACAAAUGCUCUCAACCUGCUAAGUCAACUCUCCAGCCCCCUGCUAUAACUUUUCAAAUAAAAUGAUCUAGUAAAUUCGAACAGAAGACCUAAUCCCUUUCCCUACCUGAAGACAGAAGUAAGAUGAGAGCUCUUGCCCAGAGAAUUUAGGCAACGGCAGUAUCAUAAAUGCUUCUGAAACCAGUAGAGCACUGUUUUUCCAUUCCAGCUGCAAAGCAUAGUAGUCCAGAAUUGGGGACCCAAUUCUAACUUCCUAUCUUCUUCCCUUCCUAGUCCGGUCGCUGAUAAGGGGCUCGCUCUGUCCUGCCAUUCGCCUCCAUUUCAGUGGAUAUUAUAUAAUUUGCUCCAUUACAGACAGUCCAAGUUAAACUUGGGCAACAGAUCGCAAUUAUUCUUUGAAAAUUUGGCUUCUAGCACACCUCAAUAUUGCCCGUUCAUUGUCUUCGCGCCCUGCCAAUAUUUACUAAGUCAACCAGGACUAAUUCCAAAGGACAACCAAGCCCUGCCCUAAAUUUUAUUGACCUUCAGGUGAGGCACAGGGCUAGGUAUACCUCAAACGGAAAAGAGAAACAAUUCAGCACACUUUCCCAUUAGCACAGUCUCGGUAACGCUCAAUCACUCACGAAACACAAGAACUGGAGCCCCUUACUAGGCUCGGUUGAGAGAAUCAAG